UACGGAGGGUGCGAGCGUUGUCCGGAAUCAUUGGGCGUAAAGGGCGCGUAGGUGGCGGGACAAGCGUGCGGUGAAAGCCUGGGGCUCAACCCCGGGUCGGCCGUGCGAACUGUUUUGCUUGAGCACUGUAGAGGCAGGCGGAAUUCCGGGUGUAGCGGUGGAAUGCGCAGAUAUCAGGAGGAACACCAACGGCGAAGGCAGCUCGCUGGGACGGUACUGACGCUGAGACGCGAAAGCGUGGGGAGCGAACAGG
This 253-nucleotide ribosomal RNA is filed under the name uncultured bacterium. RNAcentral's name for it is "partial 16S ribosomal RNA". It matches the Rfam family "Bacterial small subunit ribosomal RNA", at positions 524 to 776 of the family's 1533-position model. The record is from RNAcentral.